RNAcentral lists this ribosomal RNA (965 nucleotides) under Penicillium sp. RNAcentral's name for it is "SSU rRNA". It matches the Rfam family "Eukaryotic small subunit ribosomal RNA", at positions 117 to 1091 of the family's 1831-position model. Lineage: Eukaryota; Fungi; Ascomycota; Eurotiomycetes; Eurotiales; Aspergillaceae. The record is from RNAcentral.
UUAUUUGAUAGUACCUUACUACAUGGAUACCUGUGGUAAUUCUAGAGCUAAUACAUGCUAAAAACCCCGACUUCAGGAAGGGGUGUAUUUAUUAGAUAAAAAACCAACGCCCUUCGGGGCUCCUUGGUGAAUCAUAAUAACUUAACGAAUCGCAUGGCCUUGCGCCGGCGAUGGUUCAUUCAAAUUUCUGCCCUAUCAACUUUCGAUGGUAGGAUAGUGGCCUACCAUGGUGGCAACGGGUAACGGGGAAUUAGGGUUCGAUUCCGGAGAGGGAGCCUGAGAAACGGCUACCACAUCCAAGGAAGGCAGCAGGCGCGCAAAUUACCCAAUCCCGAUACGGGGAGGUAGUGACAAUAAAUACUGAUACGGGGCUCUUUUGGGUCUCGUAAUUGGAAUGAGAACAAUUUAAAUCCCUUAACGAGGAACAAUUGGAGGGCAAGUCUGGUGCCAGCAGCCGCGGUAAUUCCAGCUCCAAUAGCGUAUAUUAAAGUUGUUGCAGUUAAAAAGCUCGUAGUUGAACCUUGGGUCUGGCUGGUCGGUCCGCCUCACCGCGAGUACUGAUCCGGCUGGACCUUUCCUUCUGGGGAACCUCAUGGCCUUCACUGGCUGUGGGGGGAACCAGGACUUUUACUGUGAAAAAAUUAGAGUGUUCAAAGCAGGCCUUUGCUCGAAUACAUUAGCAUGGAAUAAUAGAAUAGGACGUGCGGUUCUAUUUUGUUGGUUUCUAGGACCGCCGUAAUGAUUAAUAGGGAUAGUCGGGGGCGUCAGUAUUCAGCUGUCAGAGGUGAAAUUCUUGGAUUUGCUGAAGACUAACUACUGCGAAAGCAUUCGCCAAGGAUGUUUUCAUUAAUCAGGGAACGAAAGUUAGGGGAUCGAAGACGAUCAGAUACCGUCGUAGUCUUAACCAUAAACUAUGCCGACUAGGGAUCGGACGGGAUUCUAUAAUGACCCGUUCGGCACCUUAC